Mastomys coucha (southern multimammate mouse) is the source of this 496-nucleotide long non-coding RNA. RefSeq lists it as uncharacterized. The transcript has 3 exons. The record is from RefSeq and is a predicted model, not a curated record. Lineage: Eukaryota; Metazoa; Chordata; Mammalia; Rodentia; Muridae.
UGAGAAUAUUUCCUAGUAACAGCAGAAACAAUGUAUGAGAAAGCUCUCUAAUAAUAUUAGUAAACCACAAAACAGCAGGCGAGCCAGAUUUCUUGGAAAAGGGUUCCAUCCGCCAGUCAGAUUUUGAAUUCAGAGAUCUACCUACCUCCACGAUGAUGGGAUUAAAGGAGUGCAUCACUACACCCUGGUUGUUUUCCAUUUCUUUCCUAAUUCCAGGAAGACAUGAAUAAAAUAAGAAAUUAUGCUAAAAGAACAAUGAAAGGAAACCAGGUGUCAUGCUGCAAGUCUUGAAUCUCAUCACUCCAAGGCAGAGGAAGGUAGAACUCUGUGAGCUGGAAGCAUGACUGAUCUUUAGAUCUUGUCUUGGACUGACAUAGUCUUGGACUGAUCUCCAAGGCUAUGUUCAGAGACUCCUAACUCAACAAAAGUUAUGAAGAGAAAAAUAAAGAAAUAGAUCGAAUUAACUUGGAAUAAAACAAGCAAAUGAAGAAUCAGG